AAGACGAGAAGACCCCAUGGAGCUUUAAACCCAAUUAUAUCUCUAACCACUAUAACCAUUUAAUCACUUAGAACUUAUAUACUUGGUUUUAGGUUGGGGCGACCACGGAGCACAACCAAACCUCCACGAUGAACGGAACAACCCCCUUAUCUGAGAAUUACACUUCUAAGAAUUAGCACACUAACAUAAAAUGACCCAUUAUUGAUCAACGAACCAAGUUACCCUGGGGAUAACAGCGCAAUCCAUUUUAAGAGCCCCUAUCGACAAAU
RNAcentral lists this ribosomal RNA (269 nucleotides) under Mantidactylus catalai. RNAcentral describes it as "partial 16S ribosomal RNA". The record is from RNAcentral. Lineage: Eukaryota; Metazoa; Chordata; Amphibia; Anura; Mantellidae.